Molecule: ribosomal RNA, 164 nt
Filed under: uncultured bacterium
Lineage: Bacteria
Description: partial 16S rRNA
Rfam family: Bacterial small subunit ribosomal RNA
Source: RNAcentral
UAGGGAAUCUUCCACAAUGGGCGAAAGCCUGAUGGAGCAACGCCGCGUGUGUGAUGAAGGGUUUCGGCUCGUAAAACNCUGUUGUAAGAGAAGAAUGACAUUGAGAGUAACUGUUCAAUGUGUGACGGUAUCUUACCAGAAAGGAACGGCUAAAUACGUACCAG